Molecule: unclassified non-coding RNA, 212 nt
Filed under: fungal sp.
Lineage: Eukaryota; Fungi
Also listed under: 1 other name
Description: partial internal transcribed spacer region
Rfam family: Eukaryotic small subunit ribosomal RNA (bases 1-46)
Source: RNAcentral
AAGUCGUAACAAGGUUUCCGUAGGUGAACCUGCGGAAGGAUCAUUAACAAAUUCCAAACACUCGUCUUUGCCAGGGUGAGGAACUUGGACUUCGGUUCCAAGGGUCUCUCUCUGGUCAUAUGACAAACAUACUUACAUUCACAAUUGACAACAACAGGAUUUCCACAAAUUAAUCGUUUAAACAACUUUUAACAAUGGAUCUCUUGGCUCUU